GACGUAGGAGGCGAGCGUUGUCCGGAGUCACUGGGCGUAAAGGGCGCGCAGGCGGCCGAGCGCGCCGCUCCGUUACAGCCCCCGGCUCAACCGGGCGGAUGCGGGCGGGACGGCUCGGCUGGAGGGCGAGAGGGGCCAGUGGAAUUCCCGGUGUAGUGGUGAAAUGCGUAGAUACCGGGAGGAACACCCGCAGCGAAGGCGGCUGGCUGGGUCGACCCUGACGCUGAGGCGCGAAGGCUCGGGGAGCGAACGGG
RNAcentral lists this ribosomal RNA (254 nucleotides) under uncultured bacterium. RNAcentral describes it as "partial 16S ribosomal RNA". It matches the Rfam family "Bacterial small subunit ribosomal RNA", at positions 524 to 776 of the family's 1533-position model. The record is from RNAcentral.